CAUUGUAUAGAAUAAUAAAAUAUCAUAUUUUAGUAGGAAUAAAAAAAAUCUUAUUCGGGUCUGAAAAAAAAAAACGUCAUAGUAUACUAUGACCAAAAUUUCAAAUUUCAGGGUGAAAUUUUUUUUUCAGAUUUUCUGAUGAAAAAAGAAAUGGAAUGGUGGUGUCUGAACAAAAUGCCAUAGUAUAGAAUGUUAAAAAUGUCAUAUUUUAGUAGGAAUUAAAAAAAAUAAUAUUUCAGUCCGAAAAAAAAUGUCAUAGUAUACUAUGACCAAAAUUUCAGAUUUUAGGGUGAAUUUCUUUUUUUCACAUUUUGGGAUGAAAAAACAUGCCAUAGUAUUGUCUGAACAAAAUGCCAUAGUUUAGGAUGUUAAAAAUGUCAUAUUUUAGCAGGAAGAAACAAAUUAU
This 406-nucleotide long non-coding RNA is filed under the name Xyrichtys novacula (pearly razorfish). The record is from RNAcentral. Lineage: Eukaryota; Metazoa; Chordata; Actinopteri; Labriformes; Labridae.